UUAUUUUAGCGGCGGACGGGUGAGUAACGUGUGGGCAACCUACCUUUUACUGUGGAAUGAUCGUUGGAAACGACGACUAAUACCGCAUACGGUUCUUGGAAGGCAUCUUCUAAGAAAGAAAGGAUUUAUUCGGUAAAAGAUGGGCCCGCAUCUGAUUAGCUAGUUGGUGAGAUAAUAGCCCACCAAGGCAACGAUCAGUAGCCGACCUGAGAGGGUGACCGGCCACAUUGGGACUGAGACACGGCCCAAACUCCUACGGAAGGCAGCAG
This 269-nucleotide ribosomal RNA is filed under the name uncultured bacterium. Its description in RNAcentral is "partial 16S ribosomal RNA". It matches the Rfam family "Bacterial small subunit ribosomal RNA", at positions 87 to 354 of the family's 1533-position model. The record is from RNAcentral.